Molecule: non-coding RNA, 601 nt
Organism: Procambarus clarkii (red swamp crayfish)
Lineage: Eukaryota; Metazoa; Arthropoda; Malacostraca; Decapoda; Cambaridae
Source: RefSeq, a predicted model, not a curated record
UCUCACUCGCACGUGUUGACGUCCUGGGUGUUGGUGACGUGUGUUGAUCUUACUCGCGCCUGUUGACGUACUGUGUUGAUCUCGCUCGCGCCUGUUGACGUACUGUGUGUUGACCUCGCUCGCGCCUGUUGACGUACUGUGUUGACCUCGCUCGCGCCUGUUGACGUACUGUGUUGAUCUCGCUCGCGCCUGUUGACGUACUGUGUGUUGAUCUCGCACGCGCCUGUUGACGUACUGUGUGUUCACCUCGCUCGCGCCUGUUGACGUACUGUGUGUUCACCUCGCUCGCGCAUGUUCACAUACUCGAAUGUCUUGUCUUCUAUCCAUGAAUUUAAUUAAGUUUGGUGUACAAACUGAGAUGUUGUAGAUAGUGCUUGUACGAUUUAACUGAUAUCACUACGCUUCUCAAGGCAAGAAGAUUGACUGAUCAAGAAGGAGCCCUUAUUCUAAAGAGCGGUGGUGAUGGCGUCCACGGAGACUCCCUUCAACACCACCGACCUGCUUGCUGAAGGAGCGGUGGCGAUGGCGUCCACGGAGACUCCCUUCAACACCACCGUCCUACUCCCUAAAGGGUAAGGGUGUUCAUUUACUAUUUUUGCCU